AUUGAACGCUGGCGGCAGGCUUAACACAUGCAAGUCGAACGAGUGGCGGACGGGUGAGUAAUGCUUGGGAAUCUGGCUUAUGGAGGGGGAUAACGACGGGAAACUGUAGCUAAUACCGCGUACCAUAGGAUGAGCCCAAGUGGGAUUAGGUAGUUGGUGGGGUAAAGGCCUACCAAGCCGACGAUCUCUAGCUGGGCUGAGAGGAUGACCAGCCACAACGGGACUGAGAAACGGCCCGGACUCCUACGUGAGGCAGCAGUGGGGAAUAUUGCGCAAUGGGGGCAACCUGACGCAGCCAUGCCGCGUGAAUGAAGAAGGCCUUCGGGUUGUAAAGUUCUUUCGGUGACGAGGCGUUAAUCACAGAAGAAGCACCGGCUAACUCCGUGCCAGCCGCCGCGGUAAUUC
This 405-nucleotide ribosomal RNA is filed under the name uncultured bacterium. Its description in RNAcentral is "partial 16S ribosomal RNA". It matches the Rfam family "Bacterial small subunit ribosomal RNA", at positions 30 to 526 of the family's 1533-position model. The record is from RNAcentral.